This 454-nucleotide ribosomal RNA is filed under the name uncultured bacterium. Its description in RNAcentral is "SSU rRNA". It matches the Rfam family "Bacterial small subunit ribosomal RNA", at positions 26 to 518 of the family's 1533-position model. The record is from RNAcentral.
AGAGCGAACGCUGGCGGCAGGCUUAACACAUGCAAGUCGAGCGGGCGUAGCAAUACGUCAGCGGCAGACGGGUGAGUAACGCGUGGGAACGUACCUUUUGGUUCGGAACAACACAGGGAAACUUGUGCUAAUACCGGAUAAGCCCUUACGGGGAAAGAUUUAUCGCCAAAAGAUCGGCCCGCGUCUGAUUAGCUAGUUGGUGAGGUAACGGCUCACCAAGGCGACGAUCAGUAGCUGGUCUGAGAGGAUGAUCAGCCACAUUGGGACUGAGACACGGCCCAAACUCCUACGGGAGGCAGCAGUGGGGAAUAUUGCACAAUGGGCGCAAGCCUGAUGCAGCGACGCCGCGUGGGGGAUGACGGCCUUCGGGUUGUAAACCGUCUUUCACCAUCGACGAAGCCUUCGGUGACGGUAGGUGGAGAGAAGCACCGGCCAACUACGUGCCAGCAGCCGC